UGGGGAAUAUUGGACAAUGGGCGCAAGCCUGAUCCAGCAAUGCCGCGUGUGUGAAGAAGGCCUUCGGGUUGUAAAGCACUUUUGUCCGGAAAGAAAUCCUUGGCUCUAAUACAGUCGGGGGAUGACGGUACCGGAAGAAUAAGCACCGGCUAACUACGUGCCAGCAGCCGCGGUAAUACGUAGGGUGCAAGCGUUAAUCGGAAUUACUGGGCGUAAAGCGUGCGCAGGCGGUUUGCUAAGACCGAUGUGAAAUCCCCGGGCUCAACCUGGGAACUGCAUUGGUGACUGGCAGGCUAGAGUAUGGCAGAGGGGGGUAGAAUUCCACGUGUGAGCAGUGAAAUGCGUAGAGAUGUGGAGGAAUACCGAUGGCGAAGGCAGCCCC
Molecule: ribosomal RNA, 382 nt
Filed under: uncultured bacterium
Lineage: Bacteria
Description: partial 16S ribosomal RNA
Rfam family: Bacterial small subunit ribosomal RNA
Source: RNAcentral